RNAcentral lists this ribosomal RNA (633 nucleotides) under uncultured fungus. Its description in RNAcentral is "eukaryotic LSU rRNA". It matches the Rfam family "Eukaryotic large subunit ribosomal RNA", at positions 48 to 696 of the family's 3401-position model. Lineage: Eukaryota; Fungi. The record is from RNAcentral.
AAGCGGAGGAAAAGAAACCAACAGGGAUUGCCCUAGUAACGGCGAGUGAAGCGGCAACAGCUCAAAUUUGAAAUCUGGCUCUUUUAGAGUCCGAGUUGUAAUUUGCAGAGGGCGCUUUGGCGUUGGCAGCGGUCCAAGUUCUUUGGAACAGGACGUCACAGAGGGUGAGAAUCCCGUACGUGGUCGCUAGCCUUCGCCGUGUAAAGCCCCUUCGACGAGUCGAGUUGUUUGGGAAUGCAGCUCUAAAUGGGAGGUAAAUUUCUUCUAAAGCUAAAUACUGGCCAGAGACCGAUAGCGCACAAGUAGAGUGAUCGUUAGAUGAAAAGCACUUUGGAAAGAGAGUCAAAUAGCACGUGAAAUUGUUGAAAGGGAAGCGCUUGCAGCUAGACUUGCCUGUAGUUGCUUAUCCGGACUUUUGUCCGGUGCACUCUUCUGCGGGCAGGCCAGCAUCAGUUUAGGCGGUUGGAUAAUGGUCUCUAUCACGUACCUCCCUUCGGGGUUGGCCUUAUAGGGGAGACGACAUGCAACCAGCCUGAUCUGAGGUCCGCGCAUCUUCUAGGWUGCUGGCGUAAUGGCUGUURGUGCCCGUUUUGAUACACGGACCAAGGAGUCUAACAUCUAUUCKAGUKUUUG